RNAcentral lists this small RNA (45 nucleotides) under Arabidopsis thaliana (thale cress). RNAcentral's name for it is "ATSL241630". Lineage: Eukaryota; Viridiplantae; Streptophyta; Magnoliopsida; Brassicales; Brassicaceae. The record is from RNAcentral.
UUUUUUUUUGGUUUUAUAACUAUUUCGGGACUCAUUUGUUAAAUA